AUAAUGCACAACUCUAAUUAUAAAACAUAAAAUUUUGAAGUUUCAUUGUUUACAUGUAAAUAAUUUGUUUUAUCAAAAUUGUCCUUUUAAAAUAAAGAAUGUUUUAAGAAUAUAAUUGACAUUGAUAAAAUUUUCUAGGACAUCCAUUUCAAGAAAAUUAUAAAUACACAACUCUUAUUCAAUAUUAAAACAUAACAUUAAAGUUUCAAUUGUAUAUAUGUUCUAAAUGAUUUGAAUCAUUAUUAUUUUUUUAUAUAAAAAAGGACAUGGAUGCUUUUAUCUAGGAAAAUUAAUGAUGGACUUGAAUUCAUAGGAAAGUGAGUCAGGGAAAAUAAAUUACUAUAAACAUCAGACUAAAAAUACAAGAUAAUUCUGUAACAAUGGAUUUUUAAUGCUAGAAAUAUGUGUCGGCCCAGAUUUUAUUUUUAGAAAUAAAAACUCACUGUCCUAAAAUUCAAAAACAGUUAUGCAAAUGUGUCUUGACAAAUUAUUCCAUCCAUUGUGCACUCAAAUUCAAUUUAUAUAAACAGAAUUCCUUCAAGGAAUUGUGUACUAAGGGAGAUAAUCCCUACAAGAAAUAGAUUUAUCUCCCAUUAAUUGGUCAAAUUGUUGGUUACAAUAUUAA
Molecule: long non-coding RNA, 625 nt
Filed under: Mytilus galloprovincialis (Mediterranean mussel)
Lineage: Eukaryota; Metazoa; Mollusca; Bivalvia; Mytilida; Mytilidae
Source: RNAcentral